UUGACGGGGCCCGCACAAGCGGUGGAGCAUGUGGUUUAAUUCGAAGCAACGCGAAGAACCUUACCAGGUCUUGACAUCCCCUGACAACCCGAGAGAUCGGGCGUUCCCCUUCGGGGGACAGGGUGACAGGUGGUGCAUGGUUGUCGUCAGCUCGUGUCGUGAGAUGUUGGGUUAAGUCCCGCAACGAGCGCAACCCUCGACCUUAGUUGCCAGCAUUCAGUUGGGCACUCUAAGGUGACUGCCGGCUAAAAGUCGGAGGAAGUGGGGAUGACGUCAAAUCAUCAUGCCCCUUAUGACCUGGGCUACACACGUGCUACAAUGGGCGGUACAAAGGGUCGCGAACCCGCGAGGGGGAGCCAAUCCCAAAAAGCCGCUCUCAGUUCGGAUUGCAGGCUGCAACUCGCCUGCAUGAAGAUGGAGUUGCUAGUAACCGCAGGUCAGCUAUACUGCGGUGAAUACGUUCCCGGGGCUU
Molecule: ribosomal RNA, 472 nt
Filed under: uncultured Anoxybacillus sp.
Lineage: Bacteria; Bacillati; Bacillota; Bacilli; Caryophanales; Anoxybacillaceae
Description: bacterial SSU rRNA
Rfam family: Bacterial small subunit ribosomal RNA
Source: RNAcentral